UGGGGAAUAUUGCACAAUGGGGGAAACCCUGAUGCAGCGACGCCGCGUGAGUGAAGAAGUAUUUCGGUAUGUAAAGCUCUAUCAGCAGGGAAGAAAUAGCGACCUUUGGGUCGCCAGACGGUACCUGAUUAAGAAGCCCCGGCUAACUACGUGCCAGCAGCCGCGGUAAUACGUAGGGGGCAAGCGUUAUCCGGAUUUACUGGGUGUAAAGGGAGCGUAGACGGCAGCACAAGUCUGAAGUGAAAUGCCGGGGCUUAACCCCGGAACUGCUUUGGAAACUGUGCAGCUAGAGUGCAGGAGAGGUAAGUGGAAUUCCUAGUGUAGCGGUGAAAUGCGUAGAUAUUAGGAGGAACACCAGUGGCGAAGGCGGCUUACUGGACUGUAACUGACGUUGAGGCUCGAAAGCGUGGGGAGCAAACA
This 420-nucleotide ribosomal RNA is filed under the name uncultured Eubacteriales bacterium. Its description in RNAcentral is "bacterial SSU rRNA". It matches the Rfam family "Bacterial small subunit ribosomal RNA", at positions 355 to 774 of the family's 1533-position model. Lineage: Bacteria; Bacillati; Bacillota; Clostridia; Eubacteriales. The record is from RNAcentral.